AAUUGAAGUAUGAUUUGCUGCCCCAC
RNAcentral lists this non-coding RNA (26 nucleotides) under Bombyx mori (domestic silkworm). The record is from RNAcentral. Lineage: Eukaryota; Metazoa; Arthropoda; Insecta; Lepidoptera; Bombycidae.